UUUCCUUCAUUCCUUUCCUUCCCGUGUGCCGCGCGCCCGAAGCCCUCUCCCCUUGCCCUAACCGGCACCGGGCGGUUUCUUCUUCUCCUCUCAUUGGAUUUCUUCUCUGCCGCACCGACCUCCGAUCACAGUCAACACUGAGCCCUAGCCCCGGCUGACCCGCGAUUUCCUUUCUUCACCGGUCGUCUCCUCCUCUUCGCCGAGACCCCCUCCUCUUUCCCAAGCGCCGACGACGAUCUGCCACCGCCGAUCGCUAGCCACUCCUCACCGUGCCCUAGUCUUCUCUUUUCGUGCCACUACCACAGCUGGCACCGCACGAAACAGUGGCGACCCAGCGCCGCCGGUCCAAAGAACCCUAGCGCCGAUCGUUUCCUCUGCCCUAGAGCAGUCGCCACCCUUCCUUUGCCUGGAUCGUUGCCAGUGUCUGAGGUAUAACCGUGCCCUAGAUUUCCACUGGCGAGUCUUCUAUUUCUACACGACCACUGAUUAAGCCAGCGCCGGUUGUUGUUCACCAGGUUCUGCUGGGCCAUCUAUUCGCUUUUCUGGUGGAUCUAAUCGCAUUGCAAGUUGUGGCUUUCCUCAGUUCCGACCUUUCCAUUGUGGAUCGGGUUUGUUGCCAUCAUAGACGGCUGAAGGAGAGGUAGAGGACUUUGAUUUGAGACAGUAUAUCGAUGAGUAUCUCGAUUAUCGGAUUGGCCUUUUCGAUUUGGAGGCGGGUACU
Zingiber officinale is the source of this 721-nucleotide long non-coding RNA. RefSeq lists it as uncharacterized. The transcript has 3 exons. NCBI's taxonomy places the organism in Eukaryota, Viridiplantae, Streptophyta, Magnoliopsida, Zingiberales, Zingiberaceae. The record is from RefSeq and is a predicted model, not a curated record.